Molecule: ribosomal RNA, 164 nt
Filed under: Bacillus anthracis (anthrax bacterium)
Lineage: Bacteria; Bacillati; Bacillota; Bacilli; Caryophanales; Bacillaceae
Description: partial 23S ribosomal RNA
Rfam family: Bacterial large subunit ribosomal RNA
Source: RNAcentral
AUUUGGUUAAGUUAGAAAGGGCGCACGGUGGAUGCCUUGACACGAGGAGUCGAUGAAGGACGGGACUAACGCCGAUAUGCUUCGGGGAGCUGUAAGUAAGCUUUGAUCCGAAGAUUUCCGAAUGGGGAAACCCACCAUACGUAAUGGUAUGGUAUCCUUAUCUG